This 385-nucleotide ribosomal RNA is filed under the name uncultured eukaryote. Its description in RNAcentral is "SSU rRNA". It matches the Rfam family "Eukaryotic small subunit ribosomal RNA", at positions 158 to 542 of the family's 1831-position model. The record is from RNAcentral.
CUGGAGCUAAUACAUGCGCAAAACCGCAACUUACGGAGCGGUGCUUUUAUUAGAUCAAAACCAAACGGUCUCGUGCCGUCCCCUGGUGAUUCUGAAUAACUUUGGGCUGAUCGCAUGGCCAUGAGCCGGCGACGUAUCCUUCCAAGGUGUGCCCUAUCAACUGUCGACUGUGGCAUAGACGCCCACAGUGGUUUUGACGGGUAACGGGGAAUUAGGGUUCGAUUCCGGAGAGGGAGCCUGAGAAACGGCUACCACUUCUACGGAAGGCAGCAGGCACGCAAAUUACCCACUGGCCGAAGGCCGAGGUAGUGACGAAAAAUAACGAUACCGGACUCUUCCGAGGCCCGGUAAUCGGAAUGAGUACGCUUUAGAUCCUUUAACGAGG